Molecule: long non-coding RNA, 513 nt
Organism: Fukomys damarensis (Damara mole-rat)
Lineage: Eukaryota; Metazoa; Chordata; Mammalia; Rodentia; Bathyergidae
Exons: 5
Source: RefSeq, a predicted model, not a curated record
UCCUCCUUAAAUGCGAAAACAUGACCCAGGAGCAUGGAUUCAUUAAUUCGUUGUACUUUCAUGAGGAACACUGCACGGAGGAAUGAAAAUGCCACCUGGGUGCCAGAGAAGAAUUUUUUUCAGGCGCUAUGGUCCUCAUAAUUGUUAGGAUAAGAUACUCCUUGCAAGUUAAAACUCACACUAACUCUUCUACAUAUAGCAGAAAAACUUUCUGGAAGAUGUUUGAUCAUUUCGUGGAUGUGUUUGUGUUUUUCAACUCUAAGUGAGGAACUGAUCAAGGUGACACGGGAUCAUCUUGGGAGAAUGCACAAGGUUUAGUUUCCUGAAGCAGAUGUUAGUACCGCCUUUUUGUAGAGAAAGAUGAGAAACAAAAUAUGCUAUAUAUUUGCCAACACAGGAGCCUGACUUUAAUGUCAAUGAAAUUGCCUCUACUCGUUCCCUACUUUGGUGGUCUAAAUUCAGCUCAGAUCACAUUGUUCUCAGUUACCCUGUAUCCCCUGGGUAAGAAUGGCC